Molecule: unclassified non-coding RNA, 927 nt
Filed under: Melitaea cinxia (Glanville fritillary)
Lineage: Eukaryota; Metazoa; Arthropoda; Insecta; Lepidoptera; Nymphalidae
Description: misc RNA ENSMCXG00005000887.1
Source: RNAcentral
CGAAGAAAAGAAGAAAAUUAUCUUCGGAGGUUGUCUUUUAGUAUAAGUCACAUAAACAAUCUCAAUCAUUUCUGCAUACUCUCUAAUUGAGACAUACAACAUCUGAACCACUCUCAUCUGCCUGUUUUCCCUAUUUAUAUUGUAACUUUUAAUGUUGUCAACAUCCUGUAACCUAACAAAAACUCUGGUGUAGUAGUGCGUGUAGGAGCGCCGCAACAGCAGCCGUCGCGGGUUUUAUUCCCAUUCGGGAUAGAUAUGUGCACAGUAAAAAUAGCGUAAAACGAAAAACGUUCUGAGCGUAUGCUAAAACAUUAUCUGCAUCACUUCUUCUUAUUACUUUGUCAUUUGCUUCUUUGUACUUCUUAAAGCAGCAAAGCAGAUGCUUUCCAAAUACUGUGAAAUAUAUUUCAUUCAUAUUCCACGAAUUGUUGAUAUUACUAAACAGGGAAAGAGAUAUAAAGUUACUCCGUAAUUAUUGUGUGUUGUUAGUUUCUACUUUCUGAGAAUUUUUUUUUGAGUUCUUAAAUGAUAAAAUGAAAUUGUUUUUAAAAUUAUUUAUUUGUAUUUGGUGUUAUUAUUGUUGUAUAUGCAAACUGUUGUGACGUUCGUUAAAUUUUAGUUGUAUUUGUUUUAUCCAUUGUUUCUCAUGAGUCAUUUGUUAGCUGAAAUAAAGAAUUAUAUUAUUAUUAUUGUUAUUAUUAUUAUACUGGAUGAGUGACAUCACUCCACCCUGUCUGUUAUUAUUAUCAUUAAAUGAUUAGUUUCUCAGUUCAUUGUAUUAGGUUAGGUUUCAUUAGCGGAGCUGGCACUUGUUUGUUGAUGUAGUAAUUGUCACUCCCUUUAAUUCUUUUACCAGUUGGUAAUCGAUUUAGAUUUCAUAAUACUGGUUGGAAUAAGAACUUAUGGUUAACAAUUCAGCUUCUCGCU